CUAUGAAAAUAAGCGAUAUUUUAGGGGAAAAACAGGGAUUUCUAUGAAAAUAAGCGAUAUUUUAGGGGAAAAACAGGGAUUUCUAUGAAAAUAAGCGAUAUUUAAGGUUAAAAACAGGGAUUUCCAUGAAAAUAAGCGAUAUUUUAGGGGAAAAACAGGGAUUUCUAUGAAAAUAAGCGAUAUUUAAGGUUAAAAACAGGGAUUUCUAUGAAAAUAAGCGAUAUUUUAGGUUAAAAACAGGGAUUUCUAUGAAAAUAAGCGAUAUUUUAGGUUAAAAACAGGGAUUUCUAUGAAAAUAAGCGAUAUUUAAGGUUAAAAACAGGGAUUUCUAUGAAAAUAAGCGAUAUUUUAGGUUAAAAACAGGGAUUUCUAUGAAAAUAAGCGAUAUUUUAGGUUAAAAACAGGGAUUUCUAUGAAAAUAAGCGAUAUUUAAGGUUAAAAACAGGGAUUUCUAUGAAAAUAAGCGAUAUUUUAGGUUAAAAACAGGGAUUUCUAUGAAAAUAAGCGAUAUUUAAGGUUAAAAACAGGGAUUUCUAUGAAAAUAAGCGAUAUUUUAGGGGAAAAACAGGGAUUUCUAUGAAAAUAAGCGAUAUUUGAGGUUAAAAACAGGGAUUUCUAUGAAAAUAAGCGAUAUUUUAGGGGAAAAACAGGGAUUUCUAUGAAAAUAAGCGAUAUUUAAGGUUAAAAACAGGGAUUUCUAUGAAAAUAAGCGAUAUUUAAGGGGAAAAACAGGGAUUUCCAUGAAAAUAAGCGAUAUUUAAGGGGAAAAACAGGGAUUUCUAUGAAAAUAAGCGAUAUUUUAGGGGAAAAACAGGGAUUUCUAUGAAAAUAAGCGAUAUUUAAGGUGAAAAACAGGGAUUUCUAUGAAAAUAAGCGAUAUUUCAGGGGAAAAACAGGGAUUUCUAUGAAAAUAAGCGAUAUUUAAGGGGAAAAACAGGGAUUUCUAUGAAAAUAAGCGAUAUUUCAGGUUAAAAACAGGGAUUUCUAUGAAAAUAAGCGAUAGUUAAGGUUAAAAACAGGGAUUUCUAUGAAAAUAAGCGAUAUUUCAGGUUAAAAACAGGGAUUUCUAUGAAAAUAAGCGAUAGUUAAGGUUAAAAACAGGGAUUUCUAUGAAAAUAAGCGAUAUUUCAGGUUAAAAACAGGGAUUUCUAUGAAAAUAAGCGAUAUUUUAGGGGAAAAACAGGGAUUUCUAUGAAAAUAAGCGAUAUUUAAGGGGAAAAACAGGGAUUUCGAUGAAAAUAAGCGAUAUUUUAGGGGAAAAACAGGGAUUUCCAUGAAAAUAAGCGAUAUUUUAGGGGAAAAACAGGGAUUUCUAUGAAAAUAAGCGAUAUUUUUGGGG
This is a long non-coding RNA of Lagopus muta (rock ptarmigan), 1339 nucleotides long. RefSeq lists it as uncharacterized. The transcript has 6 exons. Lineage: Eukaryota; Metazoa; Chordata; Aves; Galliformes; Phasianidae. The record is from RefSeq and is a predicted model, not a curated record.